Molecule: small nuclear RNA, 102 nt
Organism: Gorilla gorilla gorilla (western lowland gorilla)
Lineage: Eukaryota; Metazoa; Chordata; Mammalia; Primates; Hominidae
Source: RefSeq, a predicted model, not a curated record
UCCAUCUCAAAAAAAAAAAAAAAAAUUGGAAUGAUACAGAGAAGAUUGGCAUGGUCCCUGUGUAAGGAUGACAUGCAAAUUUGUAAAGUGUUCCAUAAAAAA